CUAAAUACACUUUCCAGUAUAUUUACUUUGUUACGACUUAUUUUUUAUUUCUAAAAAAUUGACGGGCAAUUUGUACAUAUUUUAAACUUUAUUCAAAUAAAAUAAUUUAUUUAUUUUACUAUUAAAUUCUUUAAUGUUAAAUUAUUAAAAUUAAUAACAAUAAUAAAUUAAUUUUAUUGUAACUCAUUUUUUCUUAAAUAUUAAUUACAUAUUGAUCUGAAAUAUAAUUUAAUUAAAUUUUAUAAAAAUAUUUUUUUAAAAUUUUUUUAUAACGAACAUACAUAAAUAUUAUAAUUUAAGUUUAUCUUUUCGUGGAUUAUCAAUUAUAAAAUAAGUUCCUCUAAUUAGAUUUAAAUACCGCCAUAAAUUUUAAUUUUCAUAAAUUUACUAAUUUAAUAAUUAAUUAUUUAAAAAUAAUAGGGUCUCUAAUCCUAGUUUUUUAUAUUAAUUUUAUAUUAAUAAUUUUAUUAAAUUAAUUAAUUAAUAAAUUUAAAAUUUUAUCAUUAAAUUUAUUAUAUUUAUUAAAUAUGAUAUUAAAUUUAUUUAUAUUAAUUGAAUAAAUUAAUUUAUUUUAUUUUGUUUAACCGCUAAUGCUGGCACAAAAUUUUUCUAAAUUUAUAAAAAAUUUCUAUUAUUUAAAUUAUUAAAUUAAUAAUUUUAUAUAUUAAUAUUUUAUUAUUAUUUAAAUUUUUAAAUUAUAUAUAUAUAUAAAUUUUAUAAUUAAUUGAUUAAACUAAAUUAAAAUUUU
RNAcentral lists this ribosomal RNA (748 nucleotides) under Tetrastichus howardi. RNAcentral describes it as "12S ribosomal RNA". The record is from RNAcentral. Lineage: Eukaryota; Metazoa; Arthropoda; Insecta; Hymenoptera; Eulophidae.